UAAAACCCAGGCCCGAGUAUACACCUAGGAUUAGCGUGGUCUCACGUCGCUCACAUGCCGGUUGGGCACAUUGUUGCGACGUGACAUACCACAAGCCGGACGAGGUUCAUCUGAGAAGUGCUUUUCCAGUGGGGUUUUCCACUUUGGUUGGGUUAUCUCUUUUGAACUAUUGACUCCGGUGACCGAUCAUUUCCUGGAUCUUUGGUUCAGACGAUCUUAAGGGAGCUACAAUGGCACACCCGAAAGGGCAAACCCAUUGAGUAUCUCUGCCCGAUCGUCGAGACUAUUAUCCGCCUUAGGAUGACCUGAUUAGAAUUUACCUGUGAGGGGAGGGUGGUUCUGUCAGAUGCAUGUUCAGAUGAUGGUGACUUUUUUGUUCCGCGGAUCAGAAUCCUAUUUAUAAGUCGGAUUUAUGGUCGUUUAUUGCCGAGACGCCGGAGUGUUGUCCGAGGUAUUUAUCAGUGGGGAUCCGUUUAUUUCAGGAUUCCCCGGGCCGAUUCAGAGAUCAGGGUUAUCUGUUCAGAGAUUGUUUGAUGAUGAUGAUGAUGAUGAUGGUGUAUCUGUCUUCCGUUUAUUUCGGAACCUUUGAGUUGGAUUUGUGGUUACAUAUUCCCUCAGAUGGUUGUGAUCGGUUCAGAGAUCAGGGCUGUGAUUCAGAGCAACCAAUGAUCAGAUGACUUGGAGGAUGGCCCAGUGCAUUGCAUGCAUCUGCAUCAUUCUCAUUUUGCAUUCAUCUGCAUCGAACCUACAUCUAGCCAUAUGGGGAGUAUUAUGGAUUGAGAAUCUGGUUGAGAGACAUCCGGAUGUCAGAAUGUUAUUGGUGAAAUAUUAUCCGUCUCGAUGAAACCAGAAUCAAAGGACGGAAUCUUCCUCAUAUGGGUAGAUGUUGCAUUCAUGCAUAUUAACCCAUUUGCUGUUUU
Molecule: long non-coding RNA, 920 nt
Filed under: Lathyrus oleraceus (garden pea)
Lineage: Eukaryota; Viridiplantae; Streptophyta; Magnoliopsida; Fabales; Fabaceae
Description: Pisum sativum (pea) long non-coding RNA (PSAT_LNC011105)
Source: RNAcentral